UUGAAAGGGAAACGAUUGAAGUCAGUCGUACCAGCGGGAAAUCAACCUUUCGAGUGGUGUUUUGGAGUUUUGAAGUGUGUCAAAACCUUUGAGAUUUUAAAAUUUUCGCUCUUUUGGUGUACUUUCUCGUGGGUAGGUUAACAUCGAUUUUGAUCAUCAUAAAAAGACUGGAGGAAUGUAGCUUCGAUCUUGUAUUGAAGUGUUAUAGCCUUUGGUAAAUGUGAUGAUUGGGAUCGAGGAUUGCAACGAAUACCCUUUUGGGCUAUCCGCCUGAUCUCUGAUACGUGGCCUUGGCAUCGAAAGCUUGCUUAUGGUAUCAAGGUAUUACGGUCAAAAGGUUAGAACGGAUUACAUUCGUUAAGGAUGUUGACGUA
This 374-nucleotide ribosomal RNA is filed under the name uncultured Glomeromycotina. RNAcentral describes it as "LSU rRNA". The record is from RNAcentral. Lineage: Eukaryota; Fungi; Glomeromycota.